Pelobates cultripes (western spadefoot toad) is the source of this 266-nucleotide non-coding RNA. The record is from the annotation of a GenBank genome assembly. Lineage: Eukaryota; Metazoa; Chordata; Amphibia; Anura; Pelobatidae.
CUGUGUAUCCCUCUGGGGUGAUGGGGCAACACGCUGUGGGGACUUGAGGGGCAGAGGCCAGCGGCGCUCUGCCCUGAUGCCAGCGCUUCUGCUGGGAUGAGGGGAGUACAAGCCAGUCCUGUAACAAGGGGGUUGGUAGAGCAGAGGCCAGCGGCGCUCUGCCCUGAUGCCAGCUCUUCCGCUGGUAUAGCCUGCAGGACAUCAGGCUCUGGACAAGGGACAAAGGGAGGGCAGAGGCCAACUGCACUCUGCCCAGCUGCCAGCUC